GAGUGGCGCACGGGUGCGUAACGCGUGAGCAACCUACCUCUAUCAGGGGGAUAGCCUCUCGAAAGAGAGAUUAACACCGCAUAACAUAUCUGACCGGCAUCGGUUGGAUAUUAAAUAUUUAUAGGAUAGAGAUGGGCUCGCGUGACAUUAGCUAGUUGGUAGGGUAACGGCUUACCAAGGCGACGAUGUCUAGGGGCUCUGAGAGGAGAAUCCCCCACACUGGUACUGAGACACGGACCAGACUCCUACGGGAGGCAGCAGUAAGGAAUAUUGGUCAAUGGGCGGAAGCCUGAACCAGCCAUGCCGCGUGCAGGAUGACUGCCCUAUGGGUUGUAAACUGCUUUUGUCCAGGAAUAAACCUUUCUACGUGUAUGAAGCUGAAUGUACUGGAAGAAUAAGGAUCGGCUAACUCCGUGCCAGCAGCCGCGGUAAUACGGAGGAUCCGAGCGUUAUCCGGAUUUAUUGGGUUUAAAGGGUGCGUAGGCGGCCUAUUAAGUCAGGGGUGAAAUACGGUGGCUCAACCAUCGCAGUGCCUUUGAUACUGAUGGGCUUGAAUCCAUUUGAAGUGGGCGGAAUAAGACAAGUAGCGGUGAAAUGCAUAGAUAUGUCUUAGAACUCCGAUUGCGAAGGCAGCUCACUAAGCUGGUAUUGACGCUGAUGCACGAAAGCGUGGGGAUCGAACAGGAUUAGAUACCCUGGUAGUCCACGCCUAAACGAUGAUAACUCGAUGUUGGCGAUAGACAGCCAGCGUCCAAGCGAAAGCGUUAAGUUAUCCACCUGGGGAGUACGCCCGCAAGGGUGAAACUCAAAGGAAUUGACGGGGGCCCGCACAAGCGGAGGAGCAUGUGGUUUAAUUUGAUGAUACGCGAGGAACCUUACCCGGGCUUGAAAGUUAGUGAAGAGUGCAGAGACGCACUCGUCCUUCGGGACACGAAACUAGGUGCUGCAUGGCUGUCGUCAGCUCGUGCCGUGAGGUGUUGGGUUAAGUCCCGCAACGAGCGCAACCCCUAUGUUUAGUUGCCAGCAUGUAAUGGUGGGGACUCUAAACAGACUGCCUGUGCAAACAGAGAGGAAGGUGGGGACGACGUCAAGUCAUCAUGGCCCUUACGUCCGGGGCUACACACGUGCUACAAUGGAUGGUACAGCGGGCAGCUACAUAGCAAUAUGAUGCUAAUCUCUAAAAGCCAUUCACAGUUCGGAUUGGGGUCUGCAACUCGACCCCAUGAAGUUGGAUUCGCUAGUAAUCGCGUAUCAGCAAUGACGCGGUGAAUACGUUCCCGGGCCUUGUACACACCGCCCGUCAAGCCAUGAAAGUUGGGGGUACC
RNAcentral lists this ribosomal RNA (1325 nucleotides) under Sphingobacterium sp. G-2-21-1. RNAcentral's name for it is "16S ribosomal RNA". It matches the Rfam family "Bacterial small subunit ribosomal RNA", at positions 93 to 1421 of the family's 1533-position model. Lineage: Bacteria; Pseudomonadati; Bacteroidota; Sphingobacteriia; Sphingobacteriales; Sphingobacteriaceae. The record is from RNAcentral.